This 757-nucleotide long non-coding RNA is filed under the name Mus musculus (house mouse). Its description in RNAcentral is "long non-coding RNA chr2:112390353-112391110". The record is from RNAcentral. Lineage: Eukaryota; Metazoa; Chordata; Mammalia; Rodentia; Muridae.
GCAACAUUGACAGAGACAGAAUAUGUCUAUUACAAAAACUUGGGAAAUGAUAAUUAAUGUUAUGUUUUCUGUAUUGAAGGACAUAUACAGUAAGUCCCUAUCCUUUUCCUUUGUAAAACAGUUUUAGUGUCCUCAGAGUUUGUCCAUGUCCUGUGUCUCUCCCCACAUUCUCCCCCUGAUCUCAUGUCAUUGUCCCCUUAGCCCCCUUCUUUUCCUUUUGAUUUCUGUGUAGUGUUCAAUACCACUCUUCUGCCAAAUUGCCUGCUACUUUGGAAUCAGCUUUGACUCUCAAAAUAUUCUCUCCUUAAGCCAGGCAUGGUGGUAUGUGCCUGUAGUUUCAAAAAGUGGGAGCUUGGAGCAGGAAGAUCAAGAAUUUGAGGAGGGGGAGGUGCUGCUUUGAGAUUGCUCAGGAUGGGUAAAAGCACUUGUCUGCAUAAGCCUCCACAAAGUUGUCCUCUGAAUUCCCAUUAGUGUACAUGCAUGUACAUUGUGUGUGUGUGUGUGUGUGUGUGAGAGAGAGAGAGAGAGACAGAGACAGAGAGAGAGAGGGAGGGAGAGACAGAGAGAGCACGCAAGUACGUAACACCACCACGAAUAAUAAUUUUAAAGUUAAUUUGUACUGAAGAGAUGCCUCAGUGGGUAAAAGCACUUGGUACCAAGCCUAAUGACCUGAAUUCAGUCCUCAGGACCCAUAUGCCAGCUGUAGCUAUAUAACAAGUUCCAGGUCGGCCUGGGUUAUAUAAUGAGACUCUGUUUC